RNAcentral lists this long non-coding RNA (255 nucleotides) under Actinidia chinensis (golden kiwifruit). Its description in RNAcentral is "long non-coding RNA (ACHI_LNC005290)". The record is from RNAcentral. Lineage: Eukaryota; Viridiplantae; Streptophyta; Magnoliopsida; Ericales; Actinidiaceae.
AAUUUUACUAGAUUUCUUGUUUUCCAUUUUUGAACAAUGAAUAUUCUGUUUAUAAAAUUUUACUAUUUUCCACAGUCACCCUUAUACACAAUAGAUAAUUUUUAUUUUCUUAGUUCUUUGUAUUCGAACAAUAAGUUUUGUUGUGAUAGAUAAAGUCGUUAGAGACACAAAAAGUCGAUGGCAACCGGUGAUCGACCAGAAAAGUCACCACCGGCGCCGAAAGUGGUGGCUGGACUUGAUAGUGUAGCUGAGUUG